GGCAGACGGGUGAGUAACAUGUGGGUAUCUGCCCUUUGGCCUGGAAUAACACGAGGAAACUUGUGCUAAUACCGGAUAAGUCUUUACGGAGAAAGCUUUAUGCACCAUUGGAUGAGCCCGCACUUGAUUAGUUAGUUGGUAGGGUAAUGGCCUACCAAGACUGUGAUCAAUAGCUGAUUUGAGAGGAUGAUCAGCCACAUUGGGACUGAGACACGGCCCAAACUCCUACGGGAGGCAGCAGUGGGGAAUCUUGCACAAUGGAGGAAACUCUGAUGCAGCGAUGCCGCGUGAGUGAAGAAGGCCCUUGGGUUGUAAAGCUCUUUCGUCGGGGAAGAAAAUGACUGUACCCGAAUAAGAAGGUCCGGCUAACUUUGUGCCAGCAGCCGCGGUAAUACGAAGGGACCUAGCGUAGUUCGGAAUUACUGGGCUUAAAGAGUUCGUAGGUGGUUGAAAAAGUUGGUGGUGAAAUCCCAGAGCUUAACUCUGGAACUGCCAUCAAAACUUUUCAGCUAGAGUAUGAUAGAGGAAAGCAGAAUUUCUAGUGUAGAGGUGAAAUUCGUAGAUAUUAGAAAGAAUACCAAUUGCGAAGGCAGCUUUCUGGAUCAUUACUGACACUGAGGAACGAAAGCAUGGGUAGCGAAGAGGAUUAGAUACCCUCGUAGUCCAUGCCGU
This 672-nucleotide ribosomal RNA is filed under the name uncultured Alphaproteobacteria bacterium. RNAcentral describes it as "bacterial SSU rRNA". It matches the Rfam family "Bacterial small subunit ribosomal RNA", at positions 97 to 803 of the family's 1533-position model. Lineage: Bacteria; Pseudomonadati; Pseudomonadota; Alphaproteobacteria. The record is from RNAcentral.